CGCCAUCGACGACGCCUGGUUCGAUAUGCAUGUGCUCUCCUUUCCGCACCCACCGUGCGGCGUGGCAGUUGUUGAGGCGUGUCGCCCAAGGUGAUGGCAGGUCUCCUGGCUUGCGGGUCGUAGCUUU
Molecule: small RNA, 127 nt
Filed under: Sinorhizobium meliloti 2011
Lineage: Bacteria; Pseudomonadati; Pseudomonadota; Alphaproteobacteria; Hyphomicrobiales; Rhizobiaceae
Description: putative ncRNA
Source: RNAcentral